This 427-nucleotide ribosomal RNA is filed under the name uncultured bacterium. RNAcentral describes it as "partial 16S ribosomal RNA". It matches the Rfam family "Bacterial small subunit ribosomal RNA", at positions 355 to 774 of the family's 1533-position model. The record is from RNAcentral.
UGGGGAAUAUUGCACAAUGGGCGCAAGCCUGAUGCAGCCAUGCCGCGUGUGUGAAGAAGGCCUUCGGGUUGUAAAGCACUUUCAGCGAGGAGGAAGGGUAGUGUGUUAAUAGCACAUUGCAUUGACGUUACUCGCAGAAGAAGCACCGGCUAACUCCGUGCCAGCAGCCGCGGUAAUACGGAGGGUGCAAGCGUUAAUCGGAAUUACUGGGCGUAAAGCGCACGCAGGCGGUUUGUUAAGUCAGAUGUGAAAUCCCCGCGCUUAACGUGGGAACUGCAUUUGAAACUGGCAAGCUAGAGUCUUGUAGAGGGGGGUAGAAUUCCAGGUGUAGUGGUGAAAUGCGUAGAGAUCUGGAGGAAUACCGGUGGCGAAGGCGGCCCCCUGGACAAAGACUGACGCUCAGGUGCGAAAGCGUGGGGAGCAAACA